UACGGAGGGUGCAAGCGUUAAUCGGAAUUACUGGGCGUAAAGCGUGCGCAGGCGGUUUGUUAAGUCUGCUGUGAAAUCCCCGAGCUCAACUUGGGAAUUGCAGUGGAUACUGGCAAGCUGGAGUACGGUAGAGGAAGGUGGAAUUCCCGGUGUAGCAGUGAAAUGCGUAGAGAUCGGGAGGAACACCAGUGGCGAAGGCGGCCUUCUGGACCAGUACUGACGCUCAUGCACGAAAGCGUGGGGAGCAAACAGG
RNAcentral lists this ribosomal RNA (253 nucleotides) under uncultured bacterium. RNAcentral's name for it is "partial 16S ribosomal RNA". It matches the Rfam family "Bacterial small subunit ribosomal RNA", at positions 524 to 776 of the family's 1533-position model. RNAcentral also lists the same sequence under 1 other name. The record is from RNAcentral.